CAGGGAGCCCUGUCGCUCCCUGUGGAGACCAUGCAUUCUCUUCAUCCAUAUUAAAAGGAACCAGUUAAUGUGAGCAGCCAGCCUUAGAGUAAGUGGAAGUGAGUUAUAAGUGCCUGCGAGAGAGACAGAGCAUAAGCCAUGUUGCUAGCCUCUGAGAACCCAAGCUUCUGUCAUUCUAGAACACAAAGCUAAAUGACAGGCAGUUGAAAAGUAAAUGGACACACAGGCUUCUGAUACAGGCAUGGGGCAGGGAGGUAGGUGAAGGUAAGCCCAAUCAAGGAAUGACCUCUUGGGCCCCCAGUUUGAGAACUGCCCCAAUUCUUCAUCUGUCACAUGAAACUGGAACUGCUGGUCAAGAGAGAGCCUCAGGCAAAUCACUGAGUUCUUGCCCCAAUGGGGACAAGCCCAGAGCAGGAAGUUUCCAGUAAUCGAAGUGACAAGACAUUUUGGGAAUUUCAGGUGGAUUGCAUUUGGUUUCCAAACAACUGGUCCAGCCCAGCCUUAGGCUUCUUCACUUCCUGAAGGUUCUCUGAUAUCCAGAAAGAUGUCCUAUCAGCAGCAGCAGCAAUAGUGCAAGCAGCCCUGCCAACGACCUCUUGUGCUCCCACCUCCCAAGUGCCCAGCGCCAUGCCCACCGCCGAAGUGCCCAGUGCCAUGCCCACCUCCAAAGUUUCCACCUCAACUCUGCCAGCAGCAGUGUCCCCCUGUGCAGCCACCACCGUGCCAGCAGAAGUGACCACCCAGAAGCAGUAAGAGCAAAAGCCAUCAAGACCAUCGUGCAAACAAAUCACAGGUCUCCCCCAUGCUCCAGCAGCACAUCUUCUCUCCGAAGCCUGCCCUGGUGGCAGAUGGCAUUCUCUGAAUCUCUACUCUGCUCUUCCUGGGCUGAGGUUUGCCAUAGAAGAGACUUAAUCCUGAAGUUGUUCUCUUUCCUCUUAGGGUCAGGCUCCUCUCUGAAUUAGGACCACUCUCCCCCAGAGCCCCAGGAAAAGCAUCAGGAACAAGUCUACCUUUCUUAAAAUACAGCCUUUCUUCGAUCUGUGCCUAAGA
Molecule: long non-coding RNA, 1050 nt
Organism: Neofelis nebulosa (Clouded leopard)
Lineage: Eukaryota; Metazoa; Chordata; Mammalia; Carnivora; Felidae
Exons: 2
Source: RefSeq, a predicted model, not a curated record